This 253-nucleotide ribosomal RNA is filed under the name uncultured bacterium. Its description in RNAcentral is "partial 16S ribosomal RNA". It matches the Rfam family "Bacterial small subunit ribosomal RNA", at positions 524 to 776 of the family's 1533-position model. The record is from RNAcentral.
UACGUAGGGUCCAAGCGUUAUCCGGAAUCACUGGGCGUAAAGCGUGCGUAGGUGGAUGCUUAAGUGAGUUGUUAAAUCGUGUGGCUCAACCAUAUCGAUGCAAUUCAUACUGGGCGUCUAGAGGACAGCAGAGGCAAGUGGAAUUUGUAGUGUAGCAGUGAAAUGCGUAGAUAUUGGGAAGAACACCGGUGGCGAAGGCGGCUCACUGGCUCGUAACUGACGCUCAUGCGCGACAGCGUGGGGAUCAAACAGG